AUACUCCAGUUACCCUUCAGAUCAUAUACAUCUUUCACCUUUUGCUAAAGAUUUCCAUGAAGGGGAACCAAUCUGAGUCUUAACCCAAUUUUUUGAGGCCCUGUAUCUGAAGAGCU
Molecule: small nuclear RNA, 116 nt
Filed under: Pan paniscus (pygmy chimpanzee)
Lineage: Eukaryota; Metazoa; Chordata; Mammalia; Primates; Hominidae
Description: U5 spliceosomal RNA (ENSPPAG00000019235.1)
Rfam family: U5 spliceosomal RNA
About the family: U5 RNA is a component of both types of known spliceosome. The precise function of this molecule is unknown, though it is known that the 5' loop is required for splice site selection and p220 binding, and that both the 3' stem-loop and the Sm site are important for Sm protein binding and cap methylation.
Source: Rfam by way of RNAcentral